This 586-nucleotide ribosomal RNA is filed under the name uncultured bacterium. RNAcentral describes it as "partial 16S ribosomal RNA". It matches the Rfam family "Bacterial small subunit ribosomal RNA", at positions 355 to 1375 of the family's 1533-position model. The record is from RNAcentral.
UGGGGAAUUUUGGACAAUGGGCGAAAGCCUGAUCCAGCAAUGCCGCGUGUGUGAAGAAGGCCUUCGGGUUGUAAAGCACUUUUGUCCGGAAAGAAAUCCUCGGCUCUAAUACAGUCGGGGGAUGACGGUACCGGAAGAAUAAGCACCGGCUAACUACGUGCCAGCAGCCGCGGUAAUACGUAGGGUGCAAGCGUUAAUCGGAAUUACUGGGCGUAAAGCGUGCGCAGGCGGUUUGCUAAGACCGAUGUGAAAUCCCCGGGCUCAACCUGGGAACUGCAUUGGUGACUGGCAGGCUAGAGUAUGGCAGAGGGGGGUAGAAUUCCACGUGUAGCAGUGAAAUGCGUAGAGAUGUGGAGGAAUACCGAUGGCGAAGGCAGCCCCCUGGGGCCAAUACUGACGCUCAUGCACGAAAGCGUGGGGAGCAAACAGGAUUAGAUACCCUGGUAGUCCACGCCCUAAACGAUGUCAACUAGUUGUUGGGGAUUCAUUUCCUUAGUAACGUAGCUAACGCGUGAAGUUGACCGCCUGGGGAGUACGGUCGCAAGAUUAAAACUCAAAGGAAUUGACGGGGUCAUAGCUGUUUCCU